GAUGAACGCUGACAGAAUGCUUAACACAUGCAAGUCGAUUCGAUUUACCUUCGGGUAUUGAGGAUGGCGGACGGGUGAGUAACGCGUAAGGAACUUGCCUCUUGGUCUGGGACAACUGUUGGAAACGACAGCUAAUACCGGAUAUUAUGAGAUUCUCGCAUGGGAAACUUAUGAAAGCUAUAUGCGCCAAGAGAGAGCCUUGCGUUCCAUUAGCUAGUUGGUGGGGUAAUGGCCCACCAAGGCGACGAUGGAUAGCCGGCCUGAGAGGGUGAACGGCCACAAGGGGACUGAGACACGGCCCUUACUCCUACGGGAGGCAGCAGUGGGGAAUAUUGGACAAUGGACCAAAAGUCUGAUCCAGCAAUUCUGUGUGCACGAUGAAGGUCUUCGGAUUGUAAAGUGCUUUCAGUUGGGAAGAAGCAAGUGACGGUACCAACAGAAGAAGCGACGGCUAAAUACGUGCCAGCAGCCGCAGUAA
RNAcentral lists this ribosomal RNA (478 nucleotides) under uncultured bacterium. RNAcentral's name for it is "partial 16S ribosomal RNA". It matches the Rfam family "Bacterial small subunit ribosomal RNA", at positions 28 to 523 of the family's 1533-position model. The record is from RNAcentral.